Molecule: ribosomal RNA, 253 nt
Filed under: uncultured bacterium
Lineage: Bacteria
Description: partial 16S ribosomal RNA
Rfam family: Bacterial small subunit ribosomal RNA
Source: RNAcentral
UACGUAGGGGGCUAGCGUUGUCCGGAAUCAUUGGGCGUAAAGCGCGUGUAGGCGGCUCGAUAAGUCCGCUCUGAAAGCCCGGGGCUCAACCCCGGGAGGCGGGUGGAUACUGUCGAGCUCGAGUCCGGAAGAGGCAAGUGGAAUUCCUGGUGUAGCGGUGGAAUGCGCAGAUAUCUGGAGGAAUACCGGUGGCGAAGGCGGCAUCCUGGACCGAGAUUGACACUGAGGAGCGAAAGCCAGGGGAGCAAACGGG